This 356-nucleotide ribosomal RNA is filed under the name Syncephalis sp. KL-2016a. RNAcentral's name for it is "bacterial SSU rRNA". It matches the Rfam family "Eukaryotic small subunit ribosomal RNA", at positions 1492 to 1831 of the family's 1831-position model. The record is from RNAcentral. Lineage: Eukaryota; Fungi; Zoopagomycota; Zoopagomycetes; Zoopagales; Piptocephalidaceae.
CGCGCGCUACACUGACAGAGCCAGCGAGUACUGGCGCAAGCCUUCCUUGGCCGAAAGGCCCGGGUAAUCUUGGGAAACUCUGUCGUGCUGGGGAUAGUCCUUUGCAAUUAUCGGACUUGAACGAGGAAUUCCUAGUAAGCGCGGUUCAUCAGAUCGCGUUGAUUACGUCCCUGCCCUUUGUACACACCGCCCGUCGCUACUACCGAUUGAAUGGUUUAGUGAGGACCUCGGAUAGCCGGCUGCCAGCCUUUACCGGCCGGCGGCUCGGCUAGAAGUUGUUCAAACUUGAUCAUUUAGAGGAAGUAAAAGUCGUAACAAGGUAUCCGUAGGUGAACCUGCGGAUGGAUCAUUAAGAG